RNAcentral lists this transfer RNA (69 nucleotides) under Urocitellus parryii (Arctic ground squirrel). RNAcentral describes it as "Spermophilus parryii (Arctic ground squirrel) tRNA". It matches the Rfam family "tRNA". Rfam says of the family: Transfer RNA (tRNA) molecules are approximately 80 nucleotides in length. Their secondary structure includes four short double-helical elements and three loops (D, anti-codon, and T loops). Further hydrogen bonds mediate the characteristic L-shaped molecular structure. tRNAs have two regions of fundamental functional importance: the anti-codon, which is responsible for specific mRNA codon recognition, and the 3' end, to which the tRNAs corresponding amino acid is attached (by aminoacyl-tRNA synthetases). tRNAs cope with the degeneracy of the genetic code in two manners: having more than one tRNA (with a specific anti-codon) for a particular amino acid; and 'wobble' base-pairing, i.e. permitting non-standard base-pairing at the 3rd anti-codon position. RNAcentral also lists the same sequence under 1 other name. Lineage: Eukaryota; Metazoa; Chordata; Mammalia; Rodentia; Sciuridae. The record is from Rfam by way of RNAcentral.
GGGGCUGUAGCUCAAUGGUACAGUGCUCACCUUGCACGUGUGAGGCACUGGGUUCAAUCCUCAGCACCA